Molecule: ribosomal RNA, 522 nt
Filed under: Trichoderma sp. KRCF729
Lineage: Eukaryota; Fungi; Ascomycota; Sordariomycetes; Hypocreales; Hypocreaceae
Description: eukaryotic LSU rRNA
Rfam family: 5.8S ribosomal RNA (bases 215-368)
Source: RNAcentral
ACCAGCGAGGAUCAUACGAGUUCAAACUCCCAACCCNUUGUGAACGUUACCAAACUGUUGCCUCGGCGGGAUCUCUGCCCCGGGUGCGUCGCAGCCCCGGACCAAGGCGCCCGCCGGAGGACCAACCAAAACUCUUAUUGUAUACCCCCUCGCGGGUUUUUUUAUAAUCUGAGCCUUCUCGGCGCCCCUCGUGGGCGUUUCGAAAAUGAAUCAAAACUUUCAACAACGGAUCUCUUGGUUCUGGCAUCGAUGAAGAACGCAGCGAAAUGCGAUAAGUAAUGUGAAUUGCAGAAUUCAGUGAAUCAUCGAAUCUUUGAACGCACAUUGCGCCCGCCAGUAUUCUGGCGGGCAUGCCUGUCCGAGCGUCAUUUCAACCCUCGAACCCCUCCGGGGGGUCGGCGUUGGGGAUCGGCCCUCCCUCUGCGGGGGCCGUCUCCGAAAUACAGUGGCGGUCUCGCCGCAGCCUCUCCUGCGCAGUAGUUUGCACACUCGCACCGGGAGCGCGGCGCGUCCACAGCCGUU